Molecule: transfer RNA, 98 nt
Filed under: Ramalina farinacea
Lineage: Eukaryota; Fungi; Ascomycota; Lecanoromycetes; Lecanorales; Ramalinaceae
Rfam family: tRNA
About the family: Transfer RNA (tRNA) molecules are approximately 80 nucleotides in length. Their secondary structure includes four short double-helical elements and three loops (D, anti-codon, and T loops).
Source: Rfam by way of RNAcentral
GGUACCGUGGCCUAAUGGCAAGGCGUUGCUUUCCGGCGUUCUCUCUUUUGAUUGAAUUAGAAUGGCAAAGACUGUGGGUUCGAGUCCCAUCGGUAUCG